GGAGAGGUGUCCGAGUGGUUGAAGGUGCUGCUCUCGAAAAGCAGUGAGGUGACGAGCCUCCGUGGGUUCGAAUCCCACCCUCUCCG
Molecule: transfer RNA, 86 nt
Filed under: Chloroflexia bacterium
Lineage: Bacteria; Bacillati; Chloroflexota; Chloroflexia
Description: tRNA-Ser
Rfam family: tRNA
About the family: Transfer RNA (tRNA) molecules are approximately 80 nucleotides in length. Their secondary structure includes four short double-helical elements and three loops (D, anti-codon, and T loops). Further hydrogen bonds mediate the characteristic L-shaped molecular structure. tRNAs have two regions of fundamental functional importance: the anti-codon, which is responsible for specific mRNA codon recognition, and the 3' end, to which the tRNAs corresponding amino acid is attached (by aminoacyl-tRNA synthetases). tRNAs cope with the degeneracy of the genetic code in two manners: having more than one tRNA (with a specific anti-codon) for a particular amino acid; and 'wobble' base-pairing, i.e. permitting non-standard base-pairing at the 3rd anti-codon position.
Source: RNAcentral